Molecule: non-coding RNA, 301 nt
Organism: Pelobates cultripes (western spadefoot toad)
Lineage: Eukaryota; Metazoa; Chordata; Amphibia; Anura; Pelobatidae
Source: the annotation of a GenBank genome assembly
GUUUGUGUAUGUGUAAGUGCUAGAGUGUGUGUGUUAGUUUUUGUGUCAGUGGGUGUGUUAGUUUGUGUGUCAGUGAGUGUUUUACUGUCUGUGUUAGUUUGUGUGCGUCUGUUAGUGAGUCUCUUUGGUGUCUGUUAGUGAGUGUGUGUUUUGUAAGUGAGUGUGUAUGUGUCUGUCUGUGAGUGUGUAUGUGUGUCUGUCAGUAAAUGUGUGUGUCUGUUAGCUAGUGUGUAUGCGUCUGUUCGUGAGAGUGUGUGUGUCUGUUAGCUAGUGUGUAUGCGUCUGUUUGUGAGAAUAUGUG